Molecule: ribosomal RNA, 1346 nt
Filed under: uncultured bacterium
Lineage: Bacteria
Description: partial 16S ribosomal RNA
Rfam family: Bacterial small subunit ribosomal RNA
Source: RNAcentral
GACGAACGUUGGCGGCGUGCUUAACACAUGCAAGUCGAACGGAAAGGCCCUGCUUUUGUGGGGUGCUCGAGUGGCGAACGGGUGAGUAACACGUGAGUAACCUGCCCUUGACUUUGGGAUAACUUCAGGAAACUGGGGCUAAUACCGGAUAGGAGCUCCUGCUGCAUGGUGGGGGUUGGAAAGUUUCGGCGGUUGGGGAUGGACUCGCGGCUUAUCAGCUUGUUGGUGGGGUAGUGGCUUACCAAGGCUUUGACGGGUAGCCGGCCUGAGAGGGUGACCGGCCACAUUGGGACUGAGAUACGGCCCAGACUCCUACGGGAGGCAGCAGUGGGGAAUAUUGCACAAUGGGCGGAAGCCUGAUGCAGCAACGCCGCGUGCGGGAUGACGGCCUUCGGGUUGUAAACCGCUUUCGCCUGUGACGAAGCGUGAGUGACGGUAAUGGGUAAAGAAGCACCGGCUAACUACGUGCCAGCAGCCGCGGUGAUACGUAGGGUGCGAGCGUUGUCCGGAUUUAUUGGGCGUAAAGGGCUCGUAGGUGGUUGAUCGCGUCGGAAGUGUAAUCUUGGGGCUUAACCCUGAGCGUGCUUUCGAUACGGGUUGACUUGAGGAAGGUAGGGGAGAAUGGAAUUCCAGGUGGAGCGGUGGAAUGCGCAGAUAUCAGGAGGAACACCAGUGGCGAAGGCGGUUCUCUGGGCCUUUCCUGACGCUGAGGAGCGAAAGCGUGGGGAGCGAACAGGCUUAGAUACCCUGGUAGUCCACGCUGUAAACGGUGGGUACUAGGUGUGGGGUCCAUUCCACGGGUUCCGUGCCGUAGCUAACGCUUUAAGUACCCCGCCUGGGGAGUACGGCCGCAAGGCUAAAACUCAAAGGAAUUGACGGGGCCCCGCACAAGCGGCGGAGCAUGCGGAUUAAUUCGAUGCAACGCGUAGAACCUUACCUGGGUUUGACAUGGAUCGGGAGUGCUCAGAGAUGGGUGUGCCUCUUUUGGGGUCGGUUCACAGGUGGUGCAUGGCUGUCGUCAGCUCGUGUCGUGAGAUGUUGGGUUAAGUCCCGCAACGAGCGCAACCCUUGUUCACUGUUGCCAGCACGUUAUGGUGGGGACUCAGUGGAGACCGCCGGGGUCAACUCGGAGGAAGGUGGGGAUGACGUCAAGUCAUCAUGCCCCUUAUGUCCAGGGCUUCACGCAUGCUACAAUGGCUGGUACAGAGAGUGGCGAGCCUGUGAGGGUGAGCGAAUCUCGGAAAGCCGGUCUUAGUUCGGAUUGGGGUCUGCAACUCGACCUCAUGAAGUCGGAGUCGCUAGUAAUCGCAGAUCAGCAACGCUGCGGUGAAUACGUUCCCGGGGCU